This 3127-nucleotide unclassified non-coding RNA is filed under the name Hevea brasiliensis (rubber tree). Lineage: Eukaryota; Viridiplantae; Streptophyta; Magnoliopsida; Malpighiales; Euphorbiaceae. The record is from RNAcentral.
AUUAACCUUCUCAAACUUCCUUGUCUCUGUCUUUGGCAAGUGCCAAUUGGUCCUGAAUAUUGAUAAAAGUAAGGGGAUUAAUCUCUUGACCUUUUGACAUUGAAGAUGAAGAUAGGUUGCUGUUUCCCUCUUGCACAAAUAACACUAGUUGGUAAUGAAUUUUUCUGUUUUCACCAAAUGUACACAAGAUGCAAGAAAUGGCUAUCACAUCUGCUGAAAAGGAAAAGAGUAAACAGAGCCAUUUUUAAAUUAGUUAACUCUUGACAGAAUUCACUUCUCAAAAUACAAGGGCUCCACAGUCUACACAUGAAAAUUCUUAAACAGCUAAUUUCCAGCUCUUCAGAGCAGUUCUCAUUUGGUUGUUAUGAAUUCAGAUUGCAAGGAAAGAGGAGCUUUUCAAGAUCACCAUACACACUUUACUUGAUUGUUGAUGGACUUGCAACUGGGGUCCUCAUGAAUUAGCUUUCUUGCUGUCUAUAUCUAGAUUUGUUCAUUCUGACAUCUUUAUUUAUCCACAUGCACAAAUACUUUCAUGCUGGGUGUAGUUUAUUUUUGUUAAUCUCUUAGUGUCUUUACUCUUCAGUUCUGAGACUCAUUAUUAAUGAUAAUUCUUUCUCUGGUCAACAGCGGCCCCCUUUCUUCAGCUUCAAAAUGAAUCUUCCUUCAGCCAUUAAACAAGCUUUAAAGCUUUCGAGCACAGCUUACCUAUUUUCAGCAGUGCUGCUUGUGUUUCUUCCAAAUCAGUUUAAGAGUUAUGUAACAAUGAAGAACUUUAUCAUUGAGCAGAUCAUCCUAUACUUUGGGAGCUUUUCUGUGUUCCUCUGUUGGGAAUUAAGUCACCAUUUACAUCAGGUCCUACAUACAAAAAGGUUCAUAUUUGCACCGCCAAAAGGAUCAGCAGCAGCAGAAACAAAUCCCAGUGAGCCACUUCUAUCAGCUUUGGAGGAGAGCAGCCCAGGUUCUCUUCCACAGUUUCUUGCAUAUCUUGAUCUCUGUAUGGUUUGUGAAAAUAAUGUCGCUACUUGGCGUCGAGCUGCAUUCUUUGAAGAAACUGGCGAGACUUACAAAAGAGUUGUAGCUGUAUGUUUGAGGCCUCUUGAGCAGCUUGCUUCUACUUUGGGUAAAGGCUUUGAAACUCAUUCCGAUGAUAAGACUUACCAACAACACAAUCAAUUGCAGUUACAAACUGAUCCGCAACAAGAUUCAAAGUAUUAUGAAGCCCUGAACAACUUCCAGGUAUGAAAAAAAUCAACUGCUGCUUAGAUUGGUCUCUUCAAUUUAAUAUGUUUGGAUUUUUUAAUGUUGUUCAUUUUCUAUAUUAUCUUGUCCUAAUCAGAUCAUUGAGUCCAUUAUCACCAUUAAUAGCUUAGGUACUCCAAUAGCAAUACACAAGUUUGUGAAAUGGCGAUUCAUAUAUGAUAUUUUUACAUAUAAGAGAAAGAGGUAUAGAAAGAAAAAGUAAAAUGAAAAGUGAAAGUGUAGCUGGGCACACAAGUUACUUGGUUUCUGUUGUAGUAGCUGUAAGAAAGAAAGUGAGGAAGGACGUGGUUGAGCUGAUGAAGGAAUAUUUGGUGGCAGUUGGUGUAUCUGUUAGAGCAAUUUUCUGUCAUGAAGGAUGUUUGCUCAGAAUUACUAUUGAAUCUGUUGUUGAUAAAAACAUCUCUAUAAAUAUAUUAAUUAGAGUAUGUUAAAAAUUGAUUUAAAGUUAAAUAUGCACAUAGAAAGCAAAUAUUUCAGUCCAUGGGGUUUACAGCAACCCAUUAUUUAGCAAGAGAGACAAGGGACAAAGCAUACAUUAUCAACUUGCUUCAAGAAUCAAGAUGCACUUGUUUUCUCCUUCAAAGGAGAUAUUGAUAGCCAUUGAACACCUUAUGAUUGAUAGCCAUGGUACACCCUAAUGGAUAAAAUACUUCGUUCAAAUCAAUGUUUUUGGGGUUGGCUAAGUGGAUCUCCAAACUCAUGGAUAAGUGUAUUCUCAAGUACAUACUAGUUGAUUGAUUAUAAUUGAUAACCUCAGUACACCAUACCCAACCUUAAUAAGCUUUGAUCAUACUCCUCCCUUUGAAGUUGUGAUUUAUAUAACAUUAUCAAAAAGUAUUUCUUUAGCAUUCUAUUGCUUUGUCUAUAUGGAAUAAUUAUUAUGCAUUAUCUUGUUUGGAAUCAAUGACAAGACUAAAUAUAUUAUGAUCUUUCUUGCUCAAUAAUAUUUAUUUUAUUAAGACAAAAACCUAUAGUUUUUCUAUAAUUGCGUUGCAAGUGUAAAUUAUUCAGGCGAGAUCCUCAAAUUGUUUGGAAGGCAAAGGUGUAAAAACAUGGGGAUUACAUUAACCCAUUGCUUUACAAUGACAAGGUACGUAUACAUUUUUUAUUUGCUUUAAUAAUCAAGAUGCACUUGUUUUCUUGUUCUUUAAAGGUGAUAUUUAUACCCCAUGUUUCUAGUAGUUCAGCCACCACUUAAAUUUUAAAUUAUGCACUAGUUUUUGCGAAAUAAGAUCUUUUUUUCUUUUUCUUUCUUGUUUUGUUUCUGUCAUUACAAUUUUUUUGUUGCAUAAUUUCUGCUUCUAAGUGAGAAAUGAUAAAAUUGUGAAGUGCAAAAGGCUGAUAUCACAUGUUCACGAAUUUGGUAUUAUUAUUAUUGGCCGACAAGCACAAAAUUUUCCUAAAGAGGACCCAAAUCUUUUGGAAAUAAAGCAAAUUGAGGUGGUUGGUACAUGUACUGGGGAUUUCAACACUCUUAUUAUAUGUGAAUAUUGUGAAUAUUACUUUCUUUGUUUAUUUCUCCCUGUAUUUAUUCAAUGCAUGGGUACUUAUUGCAUAACUAUGUUAAUUAGACAAAAUACUGAAAAUAUAUCAUUAUUAGAUGCAAAAGUUGUUCAUAUAAUGUUCUAAAGGAUUCGAGAUGUAACAAAUAUCAAAUCAACCCUAUUAUAAUUCUUUUAUAGGAAUGUAUUUAUGAAAUUUAUAUAGGCAUAGGUUUGAAAUAUAAGCCCCACUAUUGGCACUCCAUUUCUAUUUCCUUUCCUAUUGAGGUUUCCUUAGGGGAGGAUAGAAAAUGAUUAAGGCAGCUUGAAUUUAAAAUAUAUAUUUUAUUGUUAUUUUUAUUGCUAUUACUAAAGCUUUUUUUUUU